Long non-coding RNA from Clupea harengus (Atlantic herring), 1069 nucleotides. RefSeq lists it as uncharacterized. NCBI's taxonomy places the organism in Eukaryota, Metazoa, Chordata, Actinopteri, Clupeiformes, Clupeidae. The transcript has 7 exons. The record is from RefSeq and is a predicted model, not a curated record.
GUCAUCUCUCGCAUGUCAGUAAUUGGCAGACUUUGUUAACAUGAUGAGGAUGUCUGUGGUGUUCUUGAUGAUGCACUUGUGUUGGCCUGGCUCUAAGGCUGAGAAAGGGUGCUAUGACCCUGCUUUGCUGGAAAGAGCAGAAGUGGCUCUAGAUAGAAUCAAUAAAAAUAGAAAAGAAGGAUACAUACUGAAACUGGAACGACUUUAUGACUUCAGCAUGCCAAAGGGAGAAAUUGGGACAGAUUACACCUUCUUCAUGGAUGUGGUGGAGACAGAGUGCCAUGUUCUGAGCAGAAACCCAUUUGAGUCAUGUGAGAUCUAUGGUCAUCAUUAUGGUGUAAAUGUUUAUGGACGCUGUGUGAUAUCAAAGGGUCCACGUGACAUAGUAACAAGAUACCACUGUGUUCUUUUAAAAGUGGCACCAUCAGCCAUCCACAAUAGGUGUCCAGAUUGCCCCACAGAUGCAGACUUGGAUUCAACCGUUAUGGAGAAGGUGAAACUGACUAUCCAGCAGUUCAAUUAAAAAAGUGAAUCGCUCAAAUACUUUGCCUUGCUCAAUGUUACGAGGGCAACAAUGCAGUGGGUUUCUGGCCCUUACUAUUUUUUUGAAUAUACAAUUCAAGAGACCAUCUGCACAAAAUCCAUGACUGAUGUCAACAUUACUCAAUGUGAAAUGAACAAGUCGGAGUCUGCUAGAGUGGGAUUCUGCAAGGCAUCACACCUAAGUCAAUACCACCUUGAACUCCUUCCUCCUUCAAUCGAUGUAAACUGUGAACUAUAUGACCCUAACCGCUGGGGUGACAAACCCGAUUCCUUGCUGGGGUCUGUGCGAGUUCUUCCCUUUACUUCCACUUUGCCUCCAAGACUACGACCGAGAAGCAAGAACUGUCCUGGAAAUUCUACAAUUCCCCAGGAGAUGUGGUUCUGAAGCAGAGAGAAGGCUUCUCUGAACUUCCCAAGAAGAUGUGGGACUGAACAUGGCAGACCAAGAAGACUUUUCUGAAAAAAAAGCAGCACUGCUGUUGAAGUGCUGAAUGUUCAAAAUAAAAAUAAGAAACAUUCCAAAUUG